GAGGGAGAAAGAAAGUGAAUGGCGGAGGAUUGGAAGUGUGACAUUCAGAGGCGGCGGAGGAAAGCUCCUCGCCCCCUCCCUGUCUCGGAGGAGGGGGGUGGCGGCGGUGCCGGGGUGCUGCGUGGCUCCGCGCCCCGCUAACUGUGUGCGUGUCUGUCUCUCUCCAUGCCGGGGGAUCGCUCUUAAAAUACGCCCGAUACAAUGCACCAGCCUGACUCAGCCGCAGACAUUAGUGCUAGGAAGAUGGCGCACCCGGCAAUGUUUCCUAGAAGGGGCAGCAGCAGUAGCAGCGGCAGCAGCUGCGUUACUGCUCCCACUGCACCAGGUACCGGCGUUGGGAGCGCUGCCCUCUCCGCCGAGGAUUACCAGCCGCCCCUGCUGGUCCAGCCGCCGCCUCCGUCUCCCGCAGCAUCCUCAUCGGCAGGCCCGCAGCCGACACCCCCUCCUCCACAAAGCCUGAACCUCCUCUCGCAGUCUCAGCUCCAGCCGCAGCCUCUCGCGCAGACCGGAGCUCAGAUGAAAAAGAAAAGUGGCUUCCAGAUUACCAGCGUGACCCCUGCUCAAAUAUCUGCCAGUAUGAGCUCUAAUAACAGCAUAGCCGAAGAUACGGAAAGCUACGAUGACCUGGAUGAGUCUCACACGGAAGACCUGUCUUCUUCAGAAAUCUUGGAUGUUUCUUUAUCCAGGGCCACUGACUUGGGUGAACCUGAGAGGAGCUCUUCUGAAGAGACUUUAAAUAACUUCCAAGAGGCAGAGACUCCCGGGGCCGUUUCUCCAAACCAGCCUCAUCUUCCUCAGCAGCACCCUUCUCUGCCUCAUCAUCCGCAGCAGAGCGUUGUGAUCAACGGAAGCGUUCACCCCCACCACGUCCAUCACCACCAUCAUCUUCACCACCACCAUCAUGGACACCAUCACCCAUCGCAUCCCGGGGUGGGCAGCGCCCCAGUUUCUGGAGGACCACCACCCAGCCCAUCGUUUAGAAAGCUGUCGACAACUGGAAGCUCUGACAAUGUUAUAUCAGCUGCGCCAGGUUCUGCUGCAUCAUCCACCGGUCCCCCUGCAUCUGUCGUGUCUAAUAUCCGCACUACGAGUACUCCUGGCAGUCUAGGUGUAAGUUCUGCUACUGGAACUAGUACCUUGAAUAAUAUGGGCGGAGGUAGUUCUAGUGUGGCAAGCAGCGUGCUUGGUACUAUGAAUUUAAGCAACAUCACAAGUACUGGUAAUGUAAAUGCUUUGUCUGGAACUAGUGGCAAUGUUAAUGUGAAUAUCUUGAGUGGUGUUGGCAAUGGUACGAGUGCUUCCUCUAGUGUCGUUAACAAUGUUACUAAUCCGAGUGCAGGAGUGGCCGCGGGAUCCAGCCAGCAGCAGCCCGCAUCUGGCACCUCAAGGUUUAGAGUUGUAAAAUUAGAUUCUAGUUCUGAACCUUUCAAAAAAGGUAGAUGGACAUGCACUGAGUUCUAUGAUAAAGAAAACACUGUUGCAGCUUCAGAAGGAGUAGCAGUAAACAAAGCAGUAGAGACGAUAAAACAAAACCCGCUUGAAGCGACUUCUGAAAGGGAGAGCACCAGUGGGAGUUCUGUUAGCAGCAAUGUAAGCACACUGAGUCACUAUACAGAAAGUGUGGGAAGUGGAGAAAUGGGAGCACCUACUGUGGUACAGCAGCAAGCCUUUCAAGGUGUGGGUCCUCAGCAGAUGGAUUUUAGCAGCGCUGCUCCUCCAGCAAUUCCAGCAUCUAGUAUACCACAGAGUGUUUCCCAAUCACAGCUUGCACAAGUCCAGCUGCAUUCUCAAGAGAUAAACUAUCCGCAGCAGAAGCCAGGGGUCCAACCUCCUGCGCAGGCCAGUCUAACCACUGUUACUGGGGUUCAGCCAGCCCCGGUUAAUCUACUAGGUGUAUCCCCAGCUCUGGGCCACCAGCAGCCUGCCAUUCAAAGUAUGGCUCAACAGCAGUUACCUUAUUCUCAGCCAGCACAGCCUGUGCAGACUCUGCCAGUUGUACAACAGCAACAGUUGCAGUACGGACAGCAGCAGCAGCAGCAAGCGGUUCCUACACAGAUGGCCACAGGUCACGUUAAGUCGGUGAACCAAAGCACUGUUACGGGGGCCGUGCCAGAGUAUAUUCAGCAUCAACAGAUCCUUCAGCCCCCGGCACCUGCUAUGCAGCCCAGUCCUGCAGGAGUAGGGGCAGGGCCGCCGGUUCCUGUUGCCCAGGUCCCGAGCAUGCAGCCUGCAGUCCCGGCGCACCCAGCCGCUGCCCCGGCUCAGCCUGCUGCGCACGCCCCGGCAGCAAUACCAGGUGUGGGUACCAGUGGGCAGAUGCUGAGCGUUGGGCAGCAAGCAAACGUGGCCACUGUGGUGCAACCACCACCUGCUGCAAACCAAAUUCCACCUCCAGUUAUGCCAUCAACCGCUGCUCCUCCAUCUUCGCAAGUGGUGCAGCCUGUGCAGACAGGAAUAAUGCAGCAGGGAUUACAGGCUAGCGCUUCAGGCCUUCCUCAGCAAAUGGUUAUUGCUCAGCAAAACACUUUGUUACCUGUACAGCCGCAGGCACAAGCGGUGGAGUCAGUGGUGCAAGGAAUGACUGGCCAACAGCUGCCUGCAGUUAGCCCCAUACCUUCUGCUAGUACUGUUCCUGCACCGAGUCAAGCUGGUUCGGCUGUGCCCCCUGGCAUACCUUCUGCUUCUAUAGGUUUGGGACAGCCACAGAGCAUAGCCCAGGCUUCAGCUGUGCAGAAUGGGAGUCUGGCUCAGAGCGUUAGUCAGCCUCCUUUGGUAUCAACAAGUAUAGGUAUGCCGGUGGCACCCAGCGUGCCGCAGCAGAUACCUCUGAGCUCUACCCAGUUCCCAGCACAAUCACUAGCCCAGCCAGUUGUAAGCCAAAUGGAAGAUGGCAGGCGCCCUACAGAACCUUCCCUCGUUGGUUUACCUCAAGCUGCCAGCGGGGAGAGCAGCGUUGGAGCGUCGGCCAUCGCUGAUGGCAGUAGCAGUAACGUGCCAGCCUCGGCCUCCCUCUUCCCGUUGAAGGUGCUGCCCCUGGCGACGCCCCUCGUAGAUGGAGAGGAUGAGAGCUGCCCACAAAAGUAAAGAACCAGUGUGAAAGUUUGAAGAAAGAAACCACUCAGAGGACUGAGUUUCAAGCAAAAGCUCCAGGUUGCAGACUCAGAAAGAAACUUCCUUUGGGGAAGGAUCUGCUUCCAGGAUUUGCUCGUCUCUUUUUCCUUGGUCAAACAGAGUUCUUGAAGCAAACAACAGGGUUGCAGGACACCUUGUAACCUUUAUACUGCUUCACAAGCCUUCGGCAGAAGAUUAUGAGAGCCAUUUAUGUUGCUGGAAGAUGACUGGGUUUGGAUCUUGGCCUUCCUUAAGCAGGAUCUCCUGACAAAAAUGGGAUUGGGAAAGAAAUGACUCCUUUUUCCAUCAUACAGAGCCACCCUAGCAAUGGAAGCGUAGGCAGAACGUUACUUCUAACGUGUGAUUCUUUAGGGCAUGUGUUUGGCUUCCCAUGGUCCUUUUGAUACGAUGUCAUAAAGAUGUUUUAUAAAAACCUAAACCUGGCAUCUUGCUAUCUGAUGAAGAUCAAAUCGGUAAAUCCAACUUGAGGAGUUUGCAGGUCUCAUAACGUGAUGAGAUCUUGCUAAUUUCUGUAUAGGAGAUGCCAUGUGAAUCUGUGAAACUGGGUUCUGCUGUGGUUCAGAUGGAUAUAUUUGUAAAGCUUUUUCUACUCAUAGUCUAUUUAAAUGAUUGCAAAGCAUAUUGAUGAGGAUUCUUAUGGAAAUGGUAUUUAAUUAGGCUUCUACCUCUUCAGUUUUAUUAAAAUAAAAAGACAAAUGUCCACGGCUAUAUAAAAAGUAUUGGGUCUUUUGAGGUUUCAUGUUACUUUUGUAGAAAAAAGGUAUAUUGGAAGUGCUGGAAGUGGAAAAACAUAGAUUUCUCUUCAAGAUGGAAAAGUUGUUAGAAAGCAGAAUGCUUUAAUUUUUUUCCCUCAGGGAUUCUGUAGUCAAACUUGAAUGUCUUGCGAGAUCUCAAAUAAAAACCUUAUGUUUGGCAGUAGUGUACGACACAUUCGUGUCUGUCUACUCUUGUUCUUUUCACUGUAGGAAAUUAAUUUUGAACAAUAGGACACUUUAACAUUCUAACUAGGAAAGAGGAAAGCUUUGUUCUGACUCUGGAGUCGAAGAAGGGCUGGCAGGAGGGUGAACUGGACCCUCCGGCAGGUAAAAAGCCCUUCUAUUUUUCUGUUUUCUGCUUCUGGCAUUUGGAGUAAAGCAGACACUUGUGCUCGAAUCCGAUUAAUUUCUUCCAUCAGUUACUGUGCUAACACUGUUUUUAACUACUGCCUCGAUCUUUCAUUAAAUGCACCAGAGUGCUUACAUUGUUGAGUGGUCUUAACGUAGCCCUGAGGCUACUGCUUCAUGGCAGUUGUGACUUCUUAUUAUGCUGGAAUGCAUCACAGCCUUAGUACAUUCUAAAAAUAAUUGUUCAGAUGGUGCUGUUUAAAUACAUUCUUAUGUAGUGAGCCAUUUUCACUGGACUUUCUGAAAUUUGGCUGUCUGUUGGAUGCCUUUAAUAUCUUUAUUUCUUUUUCCAUGAGUAUCAGACUACUUUGUCUUGCUUCUUCUGUGGUUAUCAAGUGAAAUGCUAAAUUUAUGACCUGAUAUUUUUAGGAAACAGUCUGAUGCAUGUGUUAAACUAUGCAACUGCAGUAACACUUGUGCACUUUGAAGUUUAAAGGAACUUUAAAGGAACUUUUAAUGUUUUAAUGUGACAAAUGUUUCUUAAAAAAAAAAAGUGGAAGUGUGUGUGUAUGCAUAUGGUGACUUCAAAAUGGAGUAGUUGUCAUAGGUACAGAUCUUUGGGCAUAAAUUGCGUGCUUAACAGGAGUAAUGUGGAGGUUAUAAGCUGAAGAUCUGUGAGUCUUAGAAAUAAAUGCUAACAUCUGUGGCUUGAGAUCUGUGCCAGCACUUAUCUUAGUUGAAAAUACCUGUGCGUUUCUGGCUUCUAGUCUGCUUAAGGUUUGAUAUGGUUUGUACCUUCCACAAAAGGUGCAUCUCCUCAGCUGCAGUUCUUGGUCGUUUUGUCGUGAAGUGUAACACAAAUUAACUUGUAAAACUAAAUACUUCUAGUACAAUGACAGAGGUACUGAGAGCUUACUAAUAUUAUUGUCUCAAUCCCUGUCUCUAGGGAAGCAUGAAAUGACUUCACUCAUCCCCCUCCCCUCCAUAGUAACAAUUAAAGAACAAGAAAGCAAAACAAAACAAAAAAACAACCACCAAAGAACCCAACUAAAAACCACACACAGAGAAAACUCUCCAAAAUCUGUUGUUUCUAUUAAGUCAGCAUUUUAAUCCUACUUGUGUAUCAGCAUUGUUAGCGUACCGCUGUUGUGCUCUGGGCUUUGCAGCUGGCAUCUUGGGUUCUUAAUAAGUUGUUCAGAGUGAUAACUCCUGCUUUUGUGUUUAUUAAAUAAUAAAGAUGUCUAAAACCAUUUUCUUCUUGUUUAUAUUAUACCUAGAGUAAUUGUAUGAGUAUUGAGUGGUGCUUUUCUGAUUUGCCCCAGAAUGUCAGGAAACAUGGAAAAGCAUGGUGUGGUUUUAGAGUGUAUGGUUUUAGAGGUUUUUUUAAUCCCAGCUACUAAUGGAAUCUCAGAAGAUGGGCUUGCAGUAUUUCUGUUUUUCCUCUUUCUGCUGCCUUUAAGAUUCCUUGAGCAUUAGAGCUUCCUGGCUCAUUUUGUGUAAUCUUUUACAUCUUCUCUACCAGAUGCCAGCUCCUCACUGUUUUAUAUCCAGUGAAUAAAAUCCUGGCUGUUGACAUCUCAUUUUUUUUUCUGUUUCAGAAAAGCUAUCGUGUUUAACAUGAAAGAUUUGCUUUCUUCUUCCCGCCUCCCAUCUCCACCCUUUGUGACUCUGUGCUGCAACUCUGUUAUGGGAUGCUUUGAAAGCAGUGGAACCUUCUGUAAAGAUUGAGAAAUUUCAGGAAAAAACUUGCUAAUACUGCCAGAGCUAAACGUGUGUGUGUGUGUGUAAUGAGUUGCCAAUUCAAGGUAUCUUUUUCAAAGGAAGGACCAAAAGCAUUAUUCCUUCCAUAAACGAAAUCAGAAUAAACAGCGUGGAUUCUGGGGUGUUUUUCCUUGCUUUGCAGUGAGGGAGAUGGAUAACAAAGCCACCAGCAGACCGGCUCUGUCAGCAGUAGCGUACUGUGAACUGGAUUAGAUUCUCACUUUCAUCUCUCCAGCCCUGUCUGCAGAGCACUGGGAUUUGGUCAAGUAGAAAUGAUGAAAAUGUGUUUUUUUUUUUUUUUUUAACCAGCUUCUUUUUUGCCUAUUGAGAAAAGCAGAUACCUUGGUUUGCUUGUUGAUGAUCCCUGAAAGAACGAAUGUGAUUUGAGGGUUAGCUGAGAAAAGUGUUUUUCAUUGAAAAUUGGAAAAGGCAUUAUCUGAACAACGGUGCUAACAAACAGCUGAACUGUCCCAGGUUUGUUUGUUACAUGGACUUUCUGAAGAACUGGAAGCAGCACAGCUCCUAGGCCAAGGCCCAUAAAUGAUACAGGUUGAUAUCAACAGUGUGAGGUGAGUUGAUGGGUUGGUUCAGGAACUGUCAGGCUUUGCUGCUUAAGAAAUUGCAUUGUCAAAAUGGCAUGCAAGUAAUUACAAACCAACUCUUGGAAACAUGGCUUUGAAGGCCUUAAUAGGUUUGGUUUGUUUUUCUUUUUUUAAUGACAGUGAGAUUUCCUUGAUCCCUCCCAGCACUUUUUUUUUUUUGAAGAGUAUGACAUUACUGUUCUAACAAACUCUCCUGUUAUUUCAUUCCUGUGGUCUACUCUCACAAGUGGUUGGUUUGCCUCUUCUCACCAGCAGAAAUGGAUGUUUUUGCUUUUUCUAUGUAUUGAGUGGAUGCCAGGAAAAUAUGUGGGUUUGGGGCUUCUGUCACAGAACAGUAAAUGAAGAAAUCUGUCUUAUACAGACAGGUAUCACCUUUAUGGGGAGAAAUGGUUUUAUUUAUUCUAACGUUAUAAGAGUUUGUGACUACAGAGGCAUAUGGAUGGUGUGGUACUUUCUGUUCUGUUGCUUUAAUACUGUUAAAAAUAUGUUGGAAUUUUAUGCAGCUUCUGCAUAUUUUUGAGAUGUUACUCUGAUUAAAAUUAACUGUCUAGGUAGUUGAAUUUUGCAAAUAUUUUGGGGUUUUUUGUUGGAAAGGUUUUUUAAUACAAAGUAAACUAUACUUGUUUCCCCCCUUUUAGGUGGGGCUGCGGAAAGAUUGGAAAGACUGAAUAUCAGAUUUUACAGAAAUUACUAUCAAACUGGGGAGUUCUGGCUGUUCUUCUCAUCUGAUUCCUAUCCUAUAUUGCUGUAAGCCUGAUGGCCAGGUGGUUAGGUUCUUUGGUGCUUGAUAAAGUAUGCUGACACUGUUUUCUUUGAGGAUUUUGGGGAGCAAUAGCGCUUUCUUGUUGAUGAGGAGCAUUCCAGCAAGAGUUUUCUAUAUUGAAAUUUGUUUAUUUUAUACUAAUAUUGGUAAUAUUUAAGUAUCUGUUUCCCUGUAUUAAUGAUAAAUUUUAUCUAAUUACUUUCAAUUAUUUUUAAGAGGAAGUUUUUCCACAGAGGGUGGUGAGGCACUGGAACA
This is a non-coding RNA of Phasianus colchicus (ring-necked pheasant), 7616 nucleotides long. The record is from RefSeq and is a predicted model, not a curated record. NCBI's taxonomy places the organism in Eukaryota, Metazoa, Chordata, Aves, Galliformes, Phasianidae.